GAUGGCAUCAUCAUUCAACCAAAGGAGCAAUCCGCUAUGAGAUGGACCCGCGGCGCAUUAGCUAGUUGGUGGGGUAACGGCCUACCAAGGCGACGAUGCGUAGCCGACCUGAGAGGGUGAUCGGCCACAUUGGGACUGAGACACGGCCCAGACUCCUACGGGAGGCAGCAGUGGGGAAUAUUGCACAAUGGGGGAAACCCUGAUGCAGCAACGCCGCGUGAGUGAUGAAGGUUUUCGGAUCGUAAAGCUCUGUCUUUGGGGAAGAUAAUGACGGUA
Molecule: ribosomal RNA, 276 nt
Filed under: uncultured Clostridium sp.
Lineage: Bacteria; Bacillati; Bacillota; Clostridia; Eubacteriales; Clostridiaceae
Description: partial 16S ribosomal RNA
Rfam family: Bacterial small subunit ribosomal RNA
Source: RNAcentral